CGACUACGAGUUUGAUCCUGGCUCAGGAUGAACGCUAGCGGCAGGCCUAAUACAUGCAAGUCGAACGGUAAGGCCCUUUCGGGGGUACACGAGUGGCGGACGGGUGCGUAACGCGUAUGCAACAUGCCUUCCAGCGGGGGAUAUACCAGGGAAACUUGGCGCAAUACCCCAUAGAAUUACGGGACCGCAUAGUCUUGUGAUUAAAACUCCGGUGCUGGGAGAUUGGCAUGCGUGACAUUAGCUAGUUGGCGGGGUAACGGCCCACCAAGGCGACGAUGUCUAGCUGGUCUGAGAGGAUGAUCAGCCACACUGGGACUGAGACACGGCCCAGACUCCUACGGGAGGCAGCAGUAGGGAAUUUUGGACAAUGGGCGCAAGCCUGAUCCAGCCAUUCCGCGUGCAGGGUGAAGGCCUUCGGGUUGUAAACUGCUUUUGUACGGAACGAAAAGGUUUUCUCUAAUACAGAGGGCUCAUGACGGUACCGUAAGAAUAAGCACCGGCUAACUACGUG
This 511-nucleotide ribosomal RNA is filed under the name uncultured bacterium. RNAcentral's name for it is "bacterial SSU rRNA". It matches the Rfam family "Bacterial small subunit ribosomal RNA", at positions 1 to 507 of the family's 1533-position model. The record is from RNAcentral.